CCCUUAGAUGUUCUGGGCCGCACGCGCGCUACACUGACGAAUGCAACGAGCUUAUAACCUUGGCCGAAAGGUCUGGGUAAUCUCCAAAUUUCGUCGUGAUGGGGAUAGAUUAUUGCAAUUAUUAAUCUUCAACGAGGAAUGCCUAGUAAGCGCAAGUCAUCAGCUUGCGUUGAUUACGUCCCUGCCCUUUGUACACACCGCCCGUCGCUCCUACCGAUUGAAUGGUCCGGUGAAGCGCUCGGACCGCGGCCUCUUGACGGUUCGCUGUCGAUUGGCUGUGGGAAGUUCGUUAAACCUUAUCAUUUAGAGGAAGGAGAAGUCGUAACG
This 327-nucleotide ribosomal RNA is filed under the name uncultured eukaryote. RNAcentral describes it as "partial 18S ribosomal RNA". It matches the Rfam family "Eukaryotic small subunit ribosomal RNA", at positions 1470 to 1796 of the family's 1831-position model. The record is from RNAcentral.